This 117-nucleotide non-coding RNA is filed under the name Homo sapiens (human). The record is from Rfam by way of RNAcentral. Lineage: Eukaryota; Metazoa; Chordata; Mammalia; Primates; Hominidae.
GCCGGGUGUGGUGGCUCACGCCUGUAAUCCCAGCAUUUUGGGAGGCCGAAGUGGGUGGAUCACCUGAGGCCAGGAGUUCAAGACCAGCCUGGCCAACACGGUGAAACCCCAUCUCUA